Molecule: non-coding RNA, 1135 nt
Organism: Paramormyrops kingsleyae
Lineage: Eukaryota; Metazoa; Chordata; Actinopteri; Osteoglossiformes; Mormyridae
Source: RefSeq, a predicted model, not a curated record
CACUAUACAAGUGAAUUGAAUUGAAUUGAAUUGAAUUGCAGAGUUCAAUCACUCUGUCACAACAUGCAGGACUCAAGGGCAGGUGUCUGGCAAAACAGAAAGGGGGUUUGAUUGAACUACACACACACAGGGACUGGAAAUUAACAGGACCAGAGGAAUCAGAAUGAGAAGGCUUGGACAAAAAGGGACACGGACUGACAGGAGAAGUGAUAUUAAUCACCAGACAAGCAAUGAUGAGACAAACAGUUUGCAGGCUUCCUCUGAUCACAUGGCAUUUCUCCAGGUUCCAGUGCCCUGCAAUGGACUGACGUGCAGUUGAAGGUUUACCUCACUUUACACUGUGUGCUUCCAGCAUUAGGACCUAGAUAAUUAUAUUACUGUUAAAUAACUAUGAUAAAACAGAGAUAAAUCUUUGAGACAACAGGGAGAUCCAACUAUAUUUUAUGUCUUAUUGGAACAAUUUAUAUAUACACAGUAACUCUAAUUCAAGUCUUCUUUAUACAUGCAGAUUUUUAAUUUUGUUAAUGGAGUCUAUGCAUUGAUAGUUUAUUUUAUUCUCUACAGACUAAUAAUAAUGGUCUGACUUUUUGAAGGGCUUAACAUAUAGCCUUGUGGUUUUGUCACAUCCUGUUUAAAGUGUCCACUCCCCCUUCACUCUGCCUGCUGUGUGUAAGAAUAGAAACGACAGAGACAGUGAAGGUACAGAGAAUGAGGAAGUGAUUGUCACUCUCCACAGAUCUGGGCUCAGUUACACACACGAAUGGAUCCUCUGAUGCUCCUGUUUCUUCUCAUUGCUGGGCUCACAGGUGUUGACAGUGUGUCUUCAGUGGGACAGGUGUCUGUACAGAGUGGAGGAUCUGUCACCAUCCCAUGUUUCUAUGAAGGCAGAUAUGAAUCUAAUGUGAAAUACUGGUGUAGAGGGCAUGACUGGAGUUCAUGUACUUCCAUAGUACGCACUGACUUUCCACGGAAGAAGGGUGAAGUGUCAAUCAGAGAUGAUCCUGACCAGCGAGUCUUCACUGUGACUAUGAACAACUUGCAAACUGGGGUCUCUGAUUACUACUGGUGUUGUGUGGACAUCAGCGGAGCUUCAGAUGUUGGAGAAAAAGUUUACCUGUCAGUCACUGAGGGUAAG